Molecule: long non-coding RNA, 2517 nt
Filed under: Podarcis lilfordi (Lilford's wall lizard)
Lineage: Eukaryota; Metazoa; Chordata; Lepidosauria; Squamata; Lacertidae
Source: RNAcentral
GCUUUGCAAAGCUUUGGCUGGUGCUCCCGCUCUGAGCUCUGCUUCCCAGCACCCUUAGCAAUCUGGAGGGGCCAGUGUCCUUUGAGGGAGAAAAUGUGCUUCACCUGCGAUUGCAACAUCCAGUGUGUUCGUAGGUGCAAAGCCAUAGGUCCUAAAGGAGGAUUGAGUCAAGAAAAUGCCCCAAAUUCCUUAAGAACAUUACCCAAGGUGAACCCGAGUUAAAAGAAAGCGAAGCGUUGCCUUGAGAGGAGGAGGCGGUUGACAGGACAGCUAAUUUAUUGGAACACAUGACAUUGCAGUCGGAUGGAGUCUCAGUGGCGAGGAACGUUCAGCCCCAAAAGUGGAGGUGGCCCAUACUUAGCCAAAUUAGUGAUGCUGCACCAAAGUAUUUGCUCCAAUUGCAGAGAGAAACUGUAUAAAAGGGCUCAGUGCGUAGGGCUUUUCCACCAGUGCUUUUGAAGAUCUCCUCUCUUCAACUGCUCAGCUUCUUCAGCUUUUGGUAAGUUCCUUUUAAGUAAACCGAUUUGUGACGUGGGUGGCGCUGUGGUCUAAACCACAGAGCCUAGGGCUUGCCGAUCGGAAGGUCGGUGGUUCGAAUCCCCGCGACGGGGUGAGCUCCCGUUGCUUGGUCCCUGCUCCUGCCAACCUAGCAGUUCGAAAGCACGUCAAAGUGCAAGUAGAUAAAUAGGUACCACUCUGGCGGGAAGGUAAAUGGUGUUUCCGUGCGCUACUCUGGUUCGCCAGAAGUGGCUUAGUCAUGCUGGCCACAUGACCCGGAAAAACUGUCUGCGGACAAACACCGGCUUCCUCAGCCAGUAAAGUGAGAUGAGCUCCACAACUCCAGAGUCGUCCUUGACUGGCCUUAACAGUCAGGGGUCCCUUUACCUUUAAAUUGAUUCAUAGACCAGGGAAGGUAGGAAGUGAAUGACUAUGGACGGUCCUUUUUUCCUGGGGGGAAGCAGGGGGACGCAUACCCCUAAACAUUUUGUGAAUCUAAAGGGAGAAGAAAUUUUUAGUUUCUUCUCUAGCGCGGUGAAUCGUCAGUUCCGGUGCCGCCUCUGAUGGCGGCCUCAUUUCCUGUCACGGUGUUUCCUGAGUCUCAGACGGAAUGAGAGUACCCUAAAUAUUUACAAAGAUAAAAGCACAGACCAUGGGGCAGCUAUUUAUUGGGGGCUUUUCUUUUCAACAUGCCUUCCUACUUAGUUCCACAUAAAAAUCAGAUUUGGGAAGAGACCCUGAAAGGUUUACAUGUAAUUCCCUGUGCCGCUGGCAGUGUUUUGGGCUCAGACAGAAAUUUCACAUCUAAGAGGGCUUUUGAAAAGUGGAGCUGGCACUUUGGGGAAUGGAGUCUGAUGAGAGUGAAGAAUGAGGAUCUCUUCCUCCUAAGAGAUCAGAGCAGAUAAGGGGAAGAUUCCCUGUCCUGGAUCUGCUAGGAUUCUGUGUGCAAGAGCAGGUGUAUGGCAUGAGAGCAUCCCUGGAUCCACUUUUCCAGCCUUGCCCUUUUUGGGGUGAGGCAGGUCUGGCAGAGAGAGAUGCUCACCUCAAACUCUGGGAAGGGAAUCCCAUUCCUGGCUGAGCCCCGUGCCCUUGAGGUGUUGCCAAACUAAAACUCCCGUCUCCCCUGGCAUUUGGCCAUGCUGGCUGCCGGGAUUCUGGGAGUUGUAGUUCCAUAGGUUACGGAAGUCCGAUGCUUCCCCUCCCUGCUGUUGGGUCAAGGCUCUUCUUGAUGGUCUAAAGGAAGAGGAAGCUUCUUGCAAGCCCAGCCUGAGAAGAACGCUGGAUUUCAGCACAGACUGGGAGAGAAGGAGAACAGGAACAGAGAGCUGGCCUCAGGGUUUUUUAUAGCAAUAAUAAUAAUAAUAAUAAUAAUAAUAAUAAUACUUUUAAGUUACUACCUGUCCUUGCUUAAAAUAAUGCCCAACGGUCAAAUACUUUUUCAUCUGUUUGGCAAUCUGAAGGCUAAUGACUAAUUUCCCUCUGUUUCCACAUAUUUGUGAACAUGUGUCUUGAAAAUGAUUUAUUUCAGAUUCCCCAACAUUCCUCCAAGAUGUCCAGUGCCAACGUUGGAGCAAGUCUUAUGAUUCCCAUGCCACGACCCAUGAUACUACGCCCUGGUUCGACAACUCCAUUUUUUACAGGUUUUCGGGCCCAGUUCUACUUCCCAAUGUAAGAGGCUUUCGACAGUGGACCAAACGCCCUCAGAAGUUUGUGGACUCUGCUUCAUUGGAGAUUUUUAAGCAGAGGCUGGAUGUCUUUUCCUGGGGUUGGACUGGAAUUACCUUUGGGUAAUUCCAACUCUACAAUUCUAUGGUUCUACAAUUCUACGAUUCUGCACCACAACGAAUUUGAAAUGUGUUUCUUAGGAGAAAGUGUGUAUAAAAAUGAGUAUAUCUGAAAACAGCAUACAAGAACCACGCAAGAUUUUAGCUAAGGUUUCUGUUAUGUAAUCAAGCCAUCAAUUCUAGCACAUGGGGGCCACCUUAUCUAAAUUAUAUAAUUCGGUAUUCGAACUAUUGG